Molecule: long non-coding RNA, 947 nt
Organism: Centruroides sculpturatus (bark scorpion)
Lineage: Eukaryota; Metazoa; Arthropoda; Arachnida; Scorpiones; Buthidae
Exons: 4
Source: RefSeq, a predicted model, not a curated record
CUUCCACUAGGACUUUUCUACUUGAUUUCUACUUCCACCAAGACUUCCACCUAUACUUCUGUUGUAUUCGUGUAUCUUCAUCUUUCGUGCAUCGACUUUCGAGACAUCGAACUUUUUUUUCUCCUCAACACUGUCCAGGGGCCCCUACGACGACGCACCGGAUCACCGCCGGAAUUCUCAACAACGCAAGACCAGCACCGAAGCCUAAAAAUUGUGUUUACAAGAUUUUGUCGAGGAGAAGGAAGUAAAACAGGAAAAUAUGGUACAGGUGACAACGCACCAAUGUAACUGUAUUCGGUAUUCUGGAAAGAGGAGAUAAACACUUUAUUCUUCAAAAACGAAGAAGGAAAUAAAUAACACUCCUAUUUCCGGACGUAGAAACGUUAAAAUUCUGCAUUAAUUCUUAAAUAUUAUUUAAUAACGAAAUGAAGUACUUAAGGCACGUCCUCCACGUUCUCUUGAUCUUCUUACCUUUUCUGAAUGGUUCUUUAAUCGAUUUGGAAGGUAACGGCUACAAAGGUAUUAUCGUUGCUAUAAAAAAUACAAUUAGUGAAGAUGCCCAGCUGAUUGAGAAUAUCAAGGUGAGUUUUUUUUGGAUAAAAAUUGCGUUUUUUGAAUUUUAACCGGGCCAUAAGCCAAAAUAUUCCAAUUUUCUCUAAAUGGAAUGUUUCGUGUAUAUUUACACAUAGCCUAUAUAAGUAAACUUUUAGAUAUUUUUUGGAAUAUUUUACUAUCAAUGAAAGAUUGUACGGAGAAAUCACACACAAAAAACGAAAGAUUCAGAGAUAAAACUCGGAAAUCCUGGUUACGUUAGUUGCGAAAUGAAAAUUUUCCAUUUUUAGAAAUGAUUCUGUCUUUUAAAACAUGGAAAUUUUCUUACAUUUUAAACGAAAGUUGCCAAAAAAUCCAAUAAAAUCCAUUCUAAUUUGAUAAAUACGCGCCCGGGU